This 253-nucleotide ribosomal RNA is filed under the name uncultured bacterium. RNAcentral describes it as "partial 16S ribosomal RNA". It matches the Rfam family "Bacterial small subunit ribosomal RNA", at positions 524 to 776 of the family's 1533-position model. The record is from RNAcentral.
UACAGAGGUCUCGAGCGUUGUUCGGAUUCAUUGGGCGUAAAGGGUGCGUAGGUGGCGCUGUAAGUCGGGUGUGAAAUCCUGAGGCUUAACCUCGGAACUGCAUUCGAUACUGCGGUGCUUGAGGACUGGAGAGGAGACUGGAAUUCAUGGUGUAGCAGUGAAAUGCGUAGAGAUCAUGAGGAAGACCAGUGGCGAAGGCGGGUCUCUGGACAGUUCCUGACGCUGAGGCACGAAGGUCAGGGGAGCAAACGGG